This 70-nucleotide non-coding RNA is filed under the name uncultured Roseiarcus sp. RNAcentral's name for it is "chrB-a RNA". It matches the Rfam family "chrB-a RNA". The record is from RNAcentral. Lineage: Bacteria; Pseudomonadati; Pseudomonadota; Alphaproteobacteria; Hyphomicrobiales; Roseiarcaceae.
UGGGGACAGCGAUCUCCCCACGAGGCGACAGCCGAAGAAUCGCGCCCAACCUCAUGGAGGGCGCGUCAUG